ACCUUCAGCGGGGCUGUGGCUACCAUGUUCUCUCGCGCGGGUGUCGCUGGGCUGUCGGCCUGGACCUUGCAGCCGCAAUGGAUUCAAGUUCGAAAUAUGGCAACUUUGAAAGAUAUUACCAGGAGACUAAAGUCCAUCAAAAACAUCCAGAAAAUUACCAAGUCUAUGAAAAUGGUAGCAGCAGCAAAAUAUGCCCGAGCUGAGAGAGAGCUGAAACCAGCUCGAAUAUAUGGAUUGGGAUCUUUAGCUCUGUAUGAAAAAGCUGAUAUCAAGGGGCCUGAAGACAAGAAGAAACACCUCCUUAUUGGUGUGUCCUCAGAUCGAGGACUGUGUGGUGCUAUUCAUUCCUCCAUUGCUAAACAGAUGAAAAGCGAGGUUGCUACACUAACAGCAGCUGGGAAAGAAGUUAUGCUUGUUGGAAUUGGUGACAAAAUCAGAGGCAUACUUUAUAGGACUCAUUCUGACCAGUUUCUGGUGGCAUUCAAAGAAGUGGGAAGAAAGCCCCCCACUUUUGGAGAUGCGUCAGUCAUUGCCCUUGAAUUACUAAAUUCUGGAUAUGAAUUUGAUGAAGGCUCCAUCAUCUUUAAUAAAUUCAGGUCUGUCAUCUCCUAUAAGACAGAAG
RNAcentral lists this small RNA (622 nucleotides) under Pan troglodytes (chimpanzee). RNAcentral describes it as "processed transcript". The record is from RNAcentral. Lineage: Eukaryota; Metazoa; Chordata; Mammalia; Primates; Hominidae.